This 87-nucleotide transfer RNA is filed under the name Ignavibacteriota bacterium. Its description in RNAcentral is "Ignavibacteriae bacterium tRNA-Leu". It matches the Rfam family "tRNA". From Rfam's summary of the family: Transfer RNA (tRNA) molecules are approximately 80 nucleotides in length. Their secondary structure includes four short double-helical elements and three loops (D, anti-codon, and T loops). The record is from RNAcentral. Lineage: Bacteria; Pseudomonadati; Ignavibacteriota.
GCCCGGAUGGUGAAAUUGGUAGACACGCUAGGUUCAGGGUCUAGUGAGAGCAAUCUCAUGGGAGUUCGAGUCUCCCUCCGGGCACCA